GCAUGUUAGGUAUAGUUGAGGCUAAUGGGCCUUGAGUAUAAUAUUUACUAUGAUACUUGAUAGAUUGUGACUUUCCUGGAUUAUGACAUGGUUAUGUCAGAUAUAUUUAUAUAUCCAUACAUAGUUGGAUUGUGGGAAGUGUUUUAUCCUUAUAAAGGAUGUGGUCAUAGUUGAUAGAUGUUUUGAUGCUUAUAAUGGUAUUGUUUGGAUACUGGUGAUGGAAUGCAUAGAUUCGGUACAUUCAUGUGCACAAAAAUGGCAA
Molecule: long non-coding RNA, 262 nt
Filed under: Capsicum annuum
Lineage: Eukaryota; Viridiplantae; Streptophyta; Magnoliopsida; Solanales; Solanaceae
Description: long non-coding RNA (CANN_LNC012458)
Source: RNAcentral